This 32-nucleotide non-coding RNA is filed under the name unclassified sequences. The record is from RNAcentral.
CUCUGGUCGUGGAAGAAUCAGGGCAGAAAGAG